Molecule: unclassified non-coding RNA, 321 nt
Filed under: Hevea brasiliensis (rubber tree)
Lineage: Eukaryota; Viridiplantae; Streptophyta; Magnoliopsida; Malpighiales; Euphorbiaceae
Source: RNAcentral
GAAAAAUAACCAAGAAGCGGUAAUGAUUCUAGCAGCAACAAACCAAUCUGGUCAGUUGUUGUGCCCCAUUUGCUUGUGCUAUAAGAGAGAAGAAAACUCAUCAAGUGAAAAAAUUCCAUUUUCAGAUCUGGUCGGGCUAGCAUUUUCUGGAUAAAAGAAAUGUCAAUUAAUGCUAAAUUGUUCAACACCUUCAAUACACCAGUUGCCACAUCUUCAAAAUUGGAUGGAAGGACAUAGGAGGCCUGCUGUUCAGAACAUCUAUUAUUAGCCUGUAAUAAUACGGCCGUCAACAUGGAUGGAAGACAAACUAAGCCAGUCUCA